UGAGAUUCAACUACUCCAACUUCU
Molecule: microRNA, 24 nt
Filed under: Daphnia pulex (common water flea)
Lineage: Eukaryota; Metazoa; Arthropoda; Branchiopoda; Diplostraca; Daphniidae
Also listed under: 1 other name
Description: Dpu-Mir-1175_3p (mature (guide))
Source: RNAcentral